CGGGCAGCCUAACACAUGCAAGUCGAGCGGAUGAAGGGAGCUUGCUCCUGGAUUCAGCGGCGGACGGGUGAGUAAUGCCUAGGAAUCUGCCUGGUAGUGGGGGAUAACGUCCGGAAACGGGCGCUAAUACCGCAUACGUCCUGAGGGAGAAAGUGGGGGAUCUUCGGACCUCACGCUAUCAGAUGAGCCUAGGUCGGAUUAGCUAGUUGGUGGGGUAAAGGCCUACCAAGGCGACGAUCCGUAACUGGUCUGAGAGGAUGAUCAGUCACACUGGAACUGAGACACGGUCCAGACUCCUACGGGAGGCAGCAGUGGGGAAUAUUGGACAAUGGGCGAAAGCCUGAUCCAGCCAUGCCGCGUGUGUGAAGAAGGUCUUCGGAUUGUAAAGCACUUUAAGUUGGGAGGAAGGGCAGUAAGUUAAUACCUUGCUGUUUUGACGUUACCAACAGAAUAAGCACCGGCUAACUUCGUGCCAGCAGCCGCGGUAAUACGAAGGGUGCAAGCGUUAAUCGGAAUUACUGGGCGUAAAGCGCGCGUAGGUGGUUCAGCAAGUUGGAUGUGAAAUCCCCGGGCUCAACCUGGGAACUGCAUCCAAAACUACUGAGCUAGAGUACGGUAGAGGGUGGUGGAAUUUCCUGUGUAGCGGUGAAUGCGUAGAUAAUAGGAGACACCAGUGGCGAGGCGACCACUGACUGAUACUGACACUGAGUGCGAAGCGUGGGGAGCAACCAGGAAUUAAAAUA
RNAcentral lists this ribosomal RNA (743 nucleotides) under Pseudomonas aeruginosa. Its description in RNAcentral is "bacterial SSU rRNA". It matches the Rfam family "Bacterial small subunit ribosomal RNA", at positions 40 to 784 of the family's 1533-position model. Lineage: Bacteria; Pseudomonadati; Pseudomonadota; Gammaproteobacteria; Pseudomonadales; Pseudomonadaceae. The record is from RNAcentral.